Molecule: ribosomal RNA, 998 nt
Filed under: uncultured Gram-positive bacterium
Lineage: Bacteria
Description: bacterial SSU rRNA
Rfam family: Bacterial small subunit ribosomal RNA
Source: RNAcentral
UGUCCCAGCCGCCGCGGUAAUACGUAGGUGGCGAGCGUUGUCCGGAAUUACUGGGCGUAAAGGGCGAGUAGGCGGCUAGGCAAGUCAGAUGUGAAAGGCUAGGGCUCAACCUUAGCAUUGCAUUUGAAACUGCUUAGCUUGAGUGCAGGAGAGGAAAGUGGAAUUCCCAGUGUAGCGGUGAAAUGCGUAGAUAUUGGGAGGAACAUCAGUGGCGAAGGCGACUUUCUGGCCUGUAACUGACGCUGAGGCGCGAAAGCGUGGGGAGCAAACAGGAUUAGAUACCCUGGUAGUCCACGCCGUAAACGAUGGAUGCUAGGUGUGGGAGGUAUCGACCCCUUCCGUGCCGUAGUUAACGCAAUAAGCAUCCCGCCUGGGGAGUACGGUCGCAAGACUGAAACUCAAAGGAAUUGACGGGGGCCCGCACAAGCAGCGGAGCGUGUGGUUUAAUUCGAAGCAACGCGAAGAACCUUACCAAGGCUUGACAUCCCUCGCUAUCCACAGAGAUGUGGAGUUCCCUUUUGGGACGAGGAGACAGGUGGUGCACGGUUGUCGUCAGCUCGUGUCGUGAGAUGUUGGGUUAAGUCCCGCAACGAGCGCAACCCUUGUCCUUAGUUGCCAGCAUUAAGUUGGGCACUCUAGGGAGACUGCCGGUGACAAACCGGAGGAAGGUGGGGAUGACGUCAAAUCAUCAUGCCCCUUAUGUCUUGGGCUACACACGCGCUACAAUGGUCUGUACAGAGGGAAGCAAGACCGCGAGGUGGAGCAAAUCCCAUAAAACAGAUCUCAGUUCAGAUUGCAGGCUGCAACUCGCCUGCAUGAAGUCGGAGUUGCUAGUAAUCGCGGAUCAGAACGCCGCGGUGAAUGCGUUCCCGGGCCUUGUACACACCGCCCGUCACACCACGAAAGUCAGCAACACCCAAAGUCGGUGAGCUAACCGGAAGGGAGCAGCCGCCUAAGGUGGGGUUGAUGAUUGGGGUGAAGUCGUAACAAGGUAACCA